UGCGGGGUAGAGAAGUGGUAUCUCGCAAGGCUCAUAACCUUGAGACCGUGGUUCAAAUCCACGCCCCGCUA
This 71-nucleotide transfer RNA is filed under the name bacterium. RNAcentral describes it as "tRNA-Met". It matches the Rfam family "tRNA". From Rfam's summary of the family: Transfer RNA (tRNA) molecules are approximately 80 nucleotides in length. Their secondary structure includes four short double-helical elements and three loops (D, anti-codon, and T loops). The record is from RNAcentral.